Molecule: ribosomal RNA, 440 nt
Filed under: uncultured bacterium
Lineage: Bacteria
Description: bacterial SSU rRNA
Rfam family: Bacterial small subunit ribosomal RNA
Source: RNAcentral
GGACCCUUCGGGGUCAGCGGCGGACGGGUGAGUAACACGUGGGUAAUCUGCCCAACUGACUGGAAUAACGCCUGGAAACGGGUGCUAAUGCCGGAUAGGCAACUGGUAGGCAUCUACCGGUUGGGAAAGGUGCAACUGCACCGCAGAUGGAGGAGCCCGCGGCGCAUUAGCUAGUUGGUGGGGUAACGGCCCACCAAGGCGACGAUGCGUAGCCGACCUGAGAGGGUGACCGGCCACACUGGGACUGAGACACGGCCCAGACUCCUACGGGAGGCAGCAGUAGGGAAUCUUCGGCAAUGGGCGAAAGCCUGACCGAGCAACGCCGCGUGAGCGAAGAAGGCCUUCGGGUUGUAAAGCUCAGUCACCCGGGAAGAGCGGGCAGGAGAGGGAAUGCUCCUGUCGAGACGGUACCGGGAGAGGAAGCCCCGGCUAACUACGUG